This 91-nucleotide small nucleolar RNA is filed under the name Drosophila erecta. RNAcentral describes it as "snoRNA:GG25853". The record is from RNAcentral. Lineage: Eukaryota; Metazoa; Arthropoda; Insecta; Diptera; Drosophilidae.
AUGAGAUGGGAUGCGCUGAACUGGGCUGGGCUUGGAUGCCAAGGUGCGGAGCAUCCCAGUGCGCCAAUGGUCCGCGUUGGGUACUGAUUCC